AUUGAACGCUGGCGGCAUGCCUUACACAUGCAAGUCGAACGGCAGCGGGGACUUCGGUCCGCCGGCGAGUGGCGAACGGGUGAGUAAUGUAUCGGAACGUACCAUUGAGUGGGGGAUAACGUAGCGAAAGUUACGCUAAUACCGCAUAUUCUCUCCGGAGGAAAGCAGGGGACCGCAAGGCCUUGCGCUCUUUGAGCGGCCGAUAUCAGAUUAGCUAGUUGGUGGGGUAAAAGCUCACCAAGGCGACGAUCUGUAGCGGGUCUGAGAGGAUGAGCCGCCACACUGGAACUGAGACACGGUCCAGACUCCUACGGGAGGCAGCAGUGGGGAAUUUUGGACAAUGGGGGCAACCCUGAUCCAGCCAUGCCGCGUGAGUGAAGAAGGCCUUCGGGUUGUAAAGCUCUUUCGGCCGGGAAAAAAUCGCAUGGGUUAAUACCCUGUGUGGAUGAUGGUACCGGAAUAAGAAGCACCGGCUAACUACGUGCCAGCCGCCGCCGUAA
This 500-nucleotide ribosomal RNA is filed under the name uncultured bacterium. RNAcentral describes it as "partial 16S ribosomal RNA". It matches the Rfam family "Bacterial small subunit ribosomal RNA", at positions 30 to 523 of the family's 1533-position model. The record is from RNAcentral.